AUUUAAGAAAGCCGGAUAAGCAAGAAUGGGACAGUAACAUUGGAGCAGAGCGGUGGAGGGAUGCUAUGAAGGGUCAAAGGUGGCAGUCAGAGCUUUUGGUUCUACAGCGGAAUCCGUGGAACAGUGGUAGUAUCUACCUAACAGGAGAUCAGGAUAGCGAGGGUGAAAAUGUAUCAGGAAUGAAACGAGUGCGGCCCUGAGAGAAUGCUAAGAGUGUUUGCGACAUAGGACGAAAGUUACCGCGAGCAAGAGGAUCGAUUGUGAGGGAUAUUUGUAACAGAGUCGAGUGCAAUCAAGGAUCGAAAGUUUAGAAAUACAUCUUGAAUAUUUGAAGUACCUGGCUCAUGGAGGACAAGGUUGCGUGAGAAAUGCGUGAUCCAGGAGGAGAUCUUGAGUAUGAAAGAAGACGGAGUAUAGAGAAUUAAAUAAGGGUGCAAGGAUGCGAGCGAGUCAGUUGUUGUCAGUGUGUCAGAUUGAGUGUCAUAACAGAAUAUCAGAGAGUUGUAAGAGAGUUUGAG
Long non-coding RNA from Eufriesea mexicana, 518 nucleotides. RefSeq lists it as uncharacterized. The record is from RefSeq and is a predicted model, not a curated record. NCBI's taxonomy places the organism in Eukaryota, Metazoa, Arthropoda, Insecta, Hymenoptera, Apidae. The transcript has 3 exons.